ACCAGGAAAGAUUUAGGAAGGGACAGAGGACAUUGCAUUUAUCUGGGUCCAGAUCCCACCUCUGUCUCUGUGUGGAUGCUUGGGAUGUCGAGGCAUGUUGCUUCCCCCUCUGAUCCUGCUUCCUCACCUGAGAAGCUGAGAUGAACACUUGUAGGAAUAUCAAACAUUUAUGAAUGUUUGAAGGUGACCAGGUUGAGAGGUAACCACUGGGGGCUACCCAGAGUGGCUGCCACUCACCCAAAGAGGGGCCAGUCUUCCUCCAGAAAGACUAUUCUUACCAUCGGUACAUAUAAACCACCAUCAUGUCUGGUAUUCCCUUCGUGGGUAACACCUUCCCAAAACACACCAUCCAACCCAAAUGCCUCAGCUGCCCUGGUCACCCCUAUUGUUCCGUCUGUCCAAGCCGGAAGGAUCGGAGCAAAUCAUCCAACAAGACUCAUGGGAAGCCCCCUGAGAAACACAGCAGCAGCUCCAAGGCUGAAACUACUGCCAAGGACGCCGCCACCGAGUGUGCCCUGAAACCAGCCUGCCGGGGUCGCCCUCACUGCAUGCUCUGCAUGGACCGUCCUGAAAACCCCUCCUUCUUGGACUGCAUCAUCGAAGGCAUAGAUUACCUGGACCGCUCCCCAGCAAGUCCAGCAGCAAGUCCGGCGGCAAGUCCAAAUCCAAAGCGGAGGAGGCUCGGGGCGGCGCCUCGAGUAAAAAGUCACCCACCACCAGCCCCUCCAAGACCAGCCAGGACCAAGGCCAGCAGAACCCUAGCUCCACCUCUCUGCAAUGCCGCCCCGACAGCAAGGGCAGCCUCUCCUGGUAAAAUUAGUUCCAACUAGGAGACUUGUUUUCUCCCUGCAAAAUAAAGCAUUUUUAGCAAGGCA
Molecule: long non-coding RNA, 875 nt
Filed under: Monodelphis domestica (gray short-tailed opossum)
Lineage: Eukaryota; Metazoa; Chordata; Mammalia; Didelphimorphia; Didelphidae
Description: lncRNA (ENSMODG00000040237.1)
Source: RNAcentral